Molecule: non-coding RNA, 336 nt
Organism: Pelobates cultripes (western spadefoot toad)
Lineage: Eukaryota; Metazoa; Chordata; Amphibia; Anura; Pelobatidae
Source: the annotation of a GenBank genome assembly
CCAUCACACACACACACACAAUCACACACAAUGCACCCCUUACACACAAAGACAAUGAACCCCUUGCACACAGAAAAACACACAAUGCAUUACACACACACACGCAAUGCAACCCUUACACACAAUGCAUCCCUUGCACACACAGAAACACACAAUGCAUUCCUUACACACACUCAAUGCACCCCUUACAGACUCACACACUUCAUUCCUUACAUACACAGAAACACACCUUGCAGCCCUUACACAUACAAACACAGAUUCACAAAAUGCAUUCCUUACACACAAAUCAGGACAUUCCCUACACACUCCAUCCCCUGUGAACAAACUCAUUGGUGG